RNAcentral lists this ribosomal RNA (230 nucleotides) under Paracoccus lutimaris. The record is from RNAcentral. Lineage: Bacteria; Pseudomonadati; Pseudomonadota; Alphaproteobacteria; Rhodobacterales; Paracoccaceae.
UCUGGUGGCUUUAGCACGAGCAAAACACCCGAUCCCAUCCCGAACUCGGCCGUUAAGUGCCGUUGCGCCAAUGGUACUGCGUCUCAAGACGUGGGAGAGUAGGUCACCGCCAGACCUGAAAAGAAGCGAUCAUCUCUCUGACACGAUGAAAUACCGCACCGCAAAGAUCCGCGAUGCAAUUGGCGCGGGGUAGAGCAGCCCGGUAGCUCGUCAGGCUCAUAACCUGAAGG